RNAcentral lists this ribosomal RNA (787 nucleotides) under Bacillus aerius. RNAcentral's name for it is "bacterial SSU rRNA". It matches the Rfam family "Bacterial small subunit ribosomal RNA", at positions 45 to 819 of the family's 1533-position model. The record is from RNAcentral. Lineage: Bacteria; Bacillati; Bacillota; Bacilli; Caryophanales; Bacillaceae.
UGCUAUAAUGCAGUCGAGCGGACAGAAGGGAGCUUGCUCCCGGAUGUUAGCGGCGGACGGGUGAGUAACACGUGGGUAACCUGCCUGUAAGACUGGGAUAACUCCGGGAAACCGGAGCUAAUACCGGAUAGUUCCUUGAACCGCAUGGUUCAAGGAUGAAAGACGGUUUCGGCUGUCACUUACAGAUGGACCCGCGGCGCAUUAGCUAGUUGGUGAGGUAACGGCUCACCAAGGCGACGAUGCGUAGCCGACCUGAGAGGGUGAUCGGCCACACUGGGACUGAGACACGGCCCAGACUCCUACGGGAGGCAGCAGUAGGGAAUCUUCCGCAAUGGACGAAAGUCUGACGGAGCAACGCCGCGUGAGUGAUGAAGGUUUUCGGAUCGUAAAGCUCUGUUGUUAGGGAAGAACAAGUGCAAGAGUAACUGCUUGCACCUUGACGGUACCUAACCAGAAAGCCACGGCUAACUACGUGCCAGCAGCCGCGGUAAUACGUAGGUGGCAAGCGUUGUCCGGAAUUAUUGGGCGUAAAGGGCUCGCAGGCGGUUUCUUAAGUCUGAUGUGAAAGCCCCCGGCUCAACCGGGGAGGGUCAUUGGAAACUGGGAAACUUGAGUGCAGAAGAGGAGAGUGGAAUUCCACGUGUAGCGGUGAAAUGCGUAGAGAUGUGGAGGAACACCAGUGGCGAAGGCGACUCUCUGGUCUGUAACUGACGCUGAGGAGCGAAAGCGUGGGGAGCGAACAGGAUUAGAUACCCUGGUAGUCCACGCCGUAAACGAUGAGUGCUAA